GAUGAACGCUAGCGGCAGGCUUAAUACAUGCAAGGCGAGGGGGGCAGCAAUGUCACCGUCGUACGGGUGCGUAACGCGUAUGCAACCUACCUUCAACUGGGGGAUAGCCCGGGGGAAAACCCGGAUUAAUACCGCAUAACACAAUGAGUUCUCCUGGGUUUAUUGUUAAAGAUUUUAUUGGUUGAAGAUGGGCAUGCGUU
Molecule: ribosomal RNA, 200 nt
Filed under: uncultured bacterium
Lineage: Bacteria
Description: partial 16S ribosomal RNA
Rfam family: Bacterial small subunit ribosomal RNA
Source: RNAcentral